Molecule: long non-coding RNA, 425 nt
Organism: Esox lucius (northern pike)
Lineage: Eukaryota; Metazoa; Chordata; Actinopteri; Esociformes; Esocidae
Exons: 3
Source: RefSeq, a predicted model, not a curated record
GGACAGCAACCAUCUGCGGCUCAAGUGCCUGCCUACCUGCGCCUGUACUCUUCCUGGAAAUAUUCCCCCUGCACAUCCCGGCUGUGCAAGAAGAGGGCGUCUCAUCCCAGUGGCCCAAAUCCGGUGUGGCACAGUAUUCUCUGGGACAACACAAAUGGUGGAGGUAUGCCUGAAUGCACAGAUGGACGGACAAGAGCCAAGAUGACAACAAUAACAGGGCUCUCGUUGCCCAGCAUACAACAGUUACAUCUCCUAACAAAUCCUAUUCCAGCUUCCUCUCCUCCACCUGUGAGGUGGGUUGUCCAGCCAGGGGAAGCAGGAGCAGUGGAGAUUAUCCUCUUGUUCAUCUAUCACUGGGAGCUCUGAUUCGGUUACCACUGGUUACCCAUUCUGGCUCUGAGGCACACACCUCAAGCAUAAUUGUA